GGGGGGGGGGGGGGGGGGGGGGGGGGGGGGGAGGGGGGGCGGGUGGGCCCGGCGUGGGGGGGGUGGGCGGGGGGGGGAGGGGUGGGGAGCACGGGGGUUGCCUGCCCCUGGCUUGGGGAUUACUUCGUGGAACUGGGUCUAAUACCCGAUAGGACUUCCUUCGUCAUGGUGGGGGUUGGAAAGGUUCGGCGGUUGGGGAUGGACUCGCGGCUUAUCAGCUUGGUGGUGGGGUAGUGGCUUACCAAGGCUUUGACGGGUAGCCGGCCUGAGAGGGUGACCGGCCACAUUGGGACUGAGAUACGGCCCAGACUCCUACGGGAGGCAGCAGUGGGGAAUAUUGCACAAUGGGCGGAAGCCUGAUGCAGCAACGCCGCGUGCGGGAUGACGGCCUUCGGGUUGUAAACCGCUUUCGCCUGUGACGAAGCGUGAGUGACGGUAAUGGGUAAAGAAGCACCGGCUAACUACGUG
RNAcentral lists this ribosomal RNA (468 nucleotides) under uncultured bacterium. Its description in RNAcentral is "partial 16S ribosomal RNA". The stretch from base 49 to 468 matches the Rfam family "Bacterial small subunit ribosomal RNA", at positions 39 to 507 of the family's 1533-position model. The record is from RNAcentral.